AGUGAACGCUGGCGGCGUGCUUAACACAUGCAAGUCGAACGAGAACGGAAUAUAGCUUGCUAUAUUUGUCAGCUAAGUGGCGCACGGGUGAGUAAUGUAUAGAUAACCUGCCCUUAAGAAAGGAAUAACAGUUGGAAACGACUGCUAAUGCCCUAUAUGCCUUUAAUACAUAAGUAUGCAAGGGAAACGCUUUAGUGCUUAAGGAUGGGUCUGUAUGGUAUCAGCUUGUUGGUGAGGUAAUGGCUCACCAAGGCUAUGAAGCCUAACUGGUUUGAGAGGAUGAUCAGUCACACGGGAGCUGAGACACGGUCCAGACUCCUACGGGAGGCAGCAGUGGGGAAUAUUGCACGAUGGACGAAAGUCUGAUGCAGCAACGCCGCGUGGAGGAUGACACAUUUCGGUGCGUAAACUCCUUUUAUAUAGGAAGAUAAUGACGGUACUAUAUGAAUAAGCACCGGCUAACUCCGUGCCAGCAGCCGCAGUAA
Molecule: ribosomal RNA, 485 nt
Filed under: uncultured bacterium
Lineage: Bacteria
Description: partial 16S ribosomal RNA
Rfam family: Bacterial small subunit ribosomal RNA
Source: RNAcentral